Non-coding RNA from Vicugna pacos (alpaca), 821 nucleotides. NCBI's taxonomy places the organism in Eukaryota, Metazoa, Chordata, Mammalia, Artiodactyla, Camelidae. The record is from RefSeq and is a predicted model, not a curated record.
AAAACACCUAUCAGUACGAGGCUGCCAGAUGAAGGAACUGUGUGAGAGUAAAGGGCACACGAUCUGGAGUCAUGGCACCUGAACUGGCUUCAGCUUUGCCCCUGCAUCACAGGCAGGUCCCCGAACCUCUCAGGCCCCAGAGCCUCGGGAUCCUUACGCUUGUGCACCCACCCCAGGGCCGCCAGCACGCACUGAGACACCUCCGUGUUCUGCAAACCGCUAGGCAAAUGAUUUUUUAAAAUUAUGAGCCAUGUCAUUUCACCACCAAUUUUAAAGUACAAUCCCCAACUAUUGGACCGGCUUGUAAAAGAUAACACUUCUCAAGAAAAACCGAGUCUCUGGAGGGGCUGACGAUGUCCUGUGCGUGGAGACGGGUGCAAUGCACGCCGUCACCAUGUGAGCGUCAGGUGGAGACACACACAAUCCCCUGUGAUGUCAGUGGCCCAAAGAAAACACAGGAAGAGGCUUUCUCUGAUCAACUUGGACCAGAAAUGAGAGAACAGAGAGCAGCUCUGGAUGUCCAGAGAGGUGAGGGGCGAGCAGGGACUCGAAUGAAACUUGCCUCUCCCAAGUCACGGAUCCUCUUUAAGAACCGCUUUUCAAAAUGUGUGGGAUCCACUUCGGUUGCCGGCUUUUUUUCUGAUACGAUGUCUGGAUCUAACAGAAGAGAAGAGAAGACAUGUGAAAGGCAGGGAGUGGCCCUCACGGGCUCCCGGCUCGGGCUGCUCAGGGCGAGGCAGCACGAGCGGAGACUUACUCUGCUCCUCCAGCUUGUUGAUGUCUCUCAUGAUGGCUCGGAAGAACGGUCUCUGGUUGGGGUC